This 380-nucleotide ribosomal RNA is filed under the name uncultured eukaryote. RNAcentral's name for it is "SSU rRNA". It matches the Rfam family "Eukaryotic small subunit ribosomal RNA", at positions 587 to 972 of the family's 1831-position model. The record is from RNAcentral.
AGCUCCAAUAGCGUAUAUUAAAGUUGUUGCAGUUAAAAAGCUCGUAGUUGAACUUCAGGCCUGGCCGGGCGGUCCGCCUCACGGUGUGUACUGUCUGGCUGGGUCUUACCUCUUGGUGAACCCGUAUGCCCUUCACUGGGUGUGCGGGGGAACCAGGACUUUUACCUUGAGAAAAUUAGAGUGUUCAAAGCAGGCCUACGCCCGAAUACAUUAGCAUGGAAUAAUAGAAUAGGACGUGCGGUCCUAUUUUGUUGGUUUCUAGGAUCGCCGUAAUGAUAAAUAGGGACAGUUGGGGGCAUUUGUAUUGCGUCGCUAGAGGUGAAAUUCUUGGAUUGACGCAAGACAAACUACUGCGAAAGCAUUUGCCAAGGAUGUUUUCA